AUUGAACGCUGGCGGCAUGCCUUACACAUGCAAGUCGAACGGUAACGCGGGGCAACCUGGCGACGAGUGGCGAACGGGUGAGUAACGCAUCGGAACGUGCCCAGUAGUGGGGGAUAGCUCGACGAAAGUCGAAUUAAUACCGCAUACGACCUACGGGUGAAAGGGGGGGAUCGCAAGACCUCUCGCUAUUGGAGCGGCCGAUGUCAGAUUAGGUAGUUGGUAGGGUAAAAGCCUACCAAGCCUGUGAUCUGUAGCUGGUCUGAGAGGACGACCAGCCACACUGGGACUGAGACACGGCCCAGACUCCUACGGGAGGCAGCAGUGGGGAAUUUUGGACAAUGGGCGCAAGCCUGAUCCAGCCAUGCCGCGUGCGGGAAGAAGGCC
RNAcentral lists this ribosomal RNA (384 nucleotides) under uncultured bacterium. RNAcentral describes it as "bacterial SSU rRNA". It matches the Rfam family "Bacterial small subunit ribosomal RNA", at positions 29 to 416 of the family's 1533-position model. The record is from RNAcentral.